This 497-nucleotide ribosomal RNA is filed under the name uncultured bacterium. RNAcentral describes it as "partial 16S ribosomal RNA". It matches the Rfam family "Bacterial small subunit ribosomal RNA", at positions 28 to 507 of the family's 1533-position model. The record is from RNAcentral.
GAUGAACGCUGGCGGCGUGCCUAAUACAUGCAAGUCGAGCGAACGGACGAGAAGCUUGCUUCUCUGAUGUUAGCGGCGGACGGGUGAGUAACACGUGGAUAACCUACCUAUAAGACUGGGAUAACUUCGGGAAACCGGAGCUAAUACCGGAUAAUAUUUUGAACCGCAUGGUUCAAAAGUGAAAGACGGUCUUGCUGUCACUUAUAGAUGGAUCCGCGCUGCAUUAGCUAGUUGGUAAGGUAACGGCUUACCAAGGCAACGAUGCAUAGCCGACCUGAGAGGGUGAUCGGCCACACUGGAACUGAGCCACGGUCCAGACUCCUACGGGAGGCAGCAGUAGGGAAUCUUCCGCAAUGGGCGAAAGCCUGACGGAGCAACGCCGCGUGAGUGAUGAAGGUCUUCGGAUCGUAAAACUCCGUUAUUAGGGAAGAACAUAUGUGUAAGUAACUGUGCACAUCUUGACGGUACCUAAUCAGAAAGCCACGGCUAACUACGUG